Molecule: long non-coding RNA, 5141 nt
Filed under: Heterocephalus glaber (naked mole-rat)
Lineage: Eukaryota; Metazoa; Chordata; Mammalia; Rodentia; Bathyergidae
Description: lncRNA (ENSHGLG00000039156.1)
Source: RNAcentral
GAAUAUUUUGGGGGCACUUUUAGGUUAUCUACUUAUAAAGAUCAUGUCAUCUGCAAACGGAGUAUUUUCUUCUUUCCUAGUUUGGAUGCUUUGGUCCAGUUCUAUGUUAAACAGAAAUGCAGAGAAUGAGCAUCCUUGUCUUGUUCCUGACCUUAAAAGAAAAGCUUCCGAUUAAGUACUGGGGAUCGAACUUGGGACCUUGCACUUGUGAGACAGGCGGCAGAACCACUGAGCAGGGCCAUUUCCAGAGGACAGCAUGCAAAUCAAAUGCUUCUCUGGCACCCCAGAAGAGUACGCAGCACUCAGAACUAGGAACUCGUAGUAUGCAGGAAGGCUUGGUGGCUCUUGGUGGUUCGCUGACUAUACGGUAAGUCCCCGAUUUACAAAUGAGUUCUAUUCCGGGAGAAUGUUUGUGAGUUGGAUUCAUCCCUAAGUCUGACAAAGUGAGUCUUACGCACCUUUGACACAAAUAUACAAUGUGUAUUGCUCUGUGCUUCCCAGCAGUCCUCUCCCUAUCACCACUGCUUUUCCUUUUGCUUCUGGACAUCCUGGGCUGUGACUGAGCACUGUACUGCUGUGCACUACCACACUGUACAGUCAGCACACAGCAGCACAACUGUGACAAUGUUUGGCAGACAUGUGAGCUACUUCUGCGAUUUGUUCCCAUGCAUCUAGAAUGUUUGUAAUAUGAAGUUCGUUCAUUAUCUGUGAAAGUUCAUAACUUGAAUGCUCCUAAGUCAGGGACUUACUGUACAGCAUAGUCCAAAGUCCUCUAUAUGCUUUGUGAGUGUUAAUCCUGACAUGUCAACUUCAUUGGAUUAAGAAACACCUAGCAGAUUAAUAAAGCAUGCUCCUGGGUGUGUAAGGGUGGGUCAUGGAGGCCUAGCCUACAAACUAGUUAUUGUCCCUGGGUCAUUGUCCUCUGGCCCUGUUCUCCUGGUCUGCUUCCCAGAAGCCGAGAACUAAGCAGCUUGCUCCACCAUGACUUUCUGCCAUGAGGUUUCUGCCUUUUAGCUAUCUGUCCAUGUACUGAAUGCCCUGAAACCAUGAGCUAAAUUGAACCUCUCCUCCUGUAAGGUGUGGGUGUCAGGUGUUGUGUCUCAGCAGUGAGAAAGCUGACUGAUAUACCCUCCAACAACAUUUUCCACUUGAAACCUCUUCUACACCUCUAAGAUACUGUGGGCUUCUAUUUCCUACUUAGACUGUAUCUUCUCAUGUAAAGUCCAUCUUUUCUCAUUCAGAAUUAUCCUGUUUUUUGAGCUCUAGUAUGGUAUUCUUACACUUCAAUUGUAACACUUGCCUUAUAACUAAUUUUUCUACUACCAGUCUCUCAUCCAAGGUGAGACGUUAACUCCUUAUUGAUCUUUUCAUCUUCUCUCGUCCAUCUAUCUCCAAUAUCUGGUUUGAGACUUCAUGCAUGACAGAUGUGUUAAAAUAAACCUGAAAGUUGGUUUUGGAUAAACCUCACUGGAGUUGUCAUCUUGAUAAUUACAUUCCAAAUGGGAGGGCUGUAUAUUCUGGUGGAGUUAUGUGAGAAUCCAGGUCAAAUGAUGCAAAUGACAUUGCAUUUAAAACCAGAAAUUCCCAUAACUUUGGGAGGUCGAGGGUCACAAGUUUGAGUCCAGCCCGGAUAAUUUGGCAACUUAGUGAGACCCUGCUUAAAAUUAAAAAUUAAGAAAAAAAAAGACUUGAGGGCCUGGUUCAAAUCCCAGUGAUGCAAAAACCAAACCAAACCAAACCAAACCAAACCAAACCCCAGAAACUGCUGAACUUGAUCAACUGCAGCAGUAUUCAGACAUCAAAGCCCUAGGUCUGUCUGAUUAGUUUUCUAUUGCUGUAUACCAAAUUAGCACAAAGAGUAGUUUAUCGUAACAUAAAUUCAUCUGGGAACAUCUGCAGGUGAAAGUCCAGGACUGGAUUCUCUGUAGUGCUCCGGCUGAUGUCAAAGCCAUUGGCCACAGUUCUGGCUGUUGUAUGAACUGGAGGUCCUCCUCCAAGCUCACUAGGUACUGGCAGAGGCAUUGAUAUGACAUUUCCUUAAGGUUGUAGGACUAAGACCUUUUUAAAAUUUGCCCUCAGCUGGCGUAUGCUCAGCUCCUAGAGGCUGUCCACGUUGCUUGCCAUGUGACCCCCUUCAUCCUAAGCCCUGGACUCCCCUUCUUUCUGACUUUUGGACUCCUUCUGACUUGCCUAUCUCUGUGAGUUGUUUCAUGAUAGUGUUGGAAGACGCUCAUAUGGAUCAGCUGCCUUUUGAGAUACAAUCUUAGUGAAGUGGAGAUAGCAAGCCUUAAUGUUUAUUUAUUUAUUUUUUUGAGAAUAGUAGUAUGAAUUGUCUGAGAGGGGUCAGUGAGCUAUGGCCAACCACCUAAUUUUGGAAAUAAAUUAUGGGACCCAAGCUACACCCAUUCAUUUGCAAAUGAAUUCUAGCUGCUUUUGCGCUACAGUAGCAGGGUUGAGUAGCUGUGAUGUGGUGGAGACCUUCUGGCCCACAAAAACCAAAACACCACCUGGUCCCUUGGCCUGCUGACUCCUGGCCUAAAACCAUGUCCAUAGUUCCCUGAUGAUAAGAAUCACCUGGAUCACUUGUUAAAAAACCAAUUUCUGGGUCUAGCCUCGACCCACUGAGUCAGAAUCUCCAGCAUAGGAGGUGUGAGAAGCUGUGUUGAGCAAGCUUUUCUGGGUGAUUCUCAUCUCAACAGAAGGACUAGCCUUCCUGCAAAGUGAGGUGAGAGUACAGCUGUCUAGAGGGAGACUGAGAUUCCCCUGUGUAUCUCCCUGACCUGUCUCUGGAAACCUCGCCAUUUCAGGUAAGUUACUUUUAACUUUCAUUUUCCUGGCCUGACACGUGAGGAUAUAGUAACUCAUUAUUAUCCUGUGUCCCUGUGUCAAGUGCCGGACACAACUUGAGGGUUCGUAAUGCUAGCCCCUCUCAAGAGGAACAGCAUUGCUGCAGCCUGCGAAGAGGACAGAGCUUUACAACAACAGUCCAUGGUGUGUAGGAGUCUUCCUCAGAAGGAAAAACUUCCUGCAAUGCAAUUUUCCAUUACAGAGUACAUUCAGGACAACAUAAAACUCUUUAGAAAUUCAAAAUUCCCUACAGAUCAUUGAAUAUUGCAAGAGGUCAUAAAUGAUUAGGAUAUAACUGAGUUUGCGAAGGAAUAUUUAAUUUUAUGAUUGAGAACCCUGGUACUUAGCAGGAAACCUUUCCCCCUUACUUCUGAGGUUAAUGCUUUUAAAAAUCAUUGCCUGAUGAGAUCAUGCAAAUUCAGCCAUCUGUAUAGCUGUUGAAAGAAAAUUUUUAGAUAAAUUGGUAUGCCUUUGCCACAUAAAUCUUUAUAAGAUACAGGACUCCAAUAAUACUUCAAGUUACCAGGGAGUUUCAUAUUUUACUAAAAGGGGGAAAAAUCAAUCUUGAAUCUCUUAGUCCAGUGACCAAAGAAUCACUCCAUUGAUUUUGCUCAGCUACUCAGGUGGGUGUGCAAUUUAUCCUGAUCUGAUAUUAUCCGAUUUAAAGUUUACUUUUUCUGGGAAGUAUUAAUUCGAGUGUUAUAUGGGCAGUACUGUAACACCAGACUCUCUUUACAGUCACUUUACACAGCUUAUGUAAACAUCUCAGGAUAGAGUUUCCUUUUAGCAUUUUUUUUUUUUGGUGUUUGCCGAAUGCUAUUCUUCUUUUCAACAGCAGAGGGAAGCAAAGCCCUGUCUAAACAGUGUAUCUGAGUGCCAGCCUGGAAGGAAAGGGAUCCAUGUUCCUUUGAGAGACCAGGGAAACAAGAACAGAAUGAAUCUGCCAGGUAUGAUUUAGCUUUGGAAAAAAAAUACAGAGUUGGAAAAUGAGUAUGUUUUGCCAAUUUAAAUUUUAGCUUUCAGUUCUUAAAAAUGUACCAAUGGGGAACCAAGAAAAAUAAAUCUGUAGUGGCCAGGGCAAGGGAUAUUCAUUUGGAUGAAAUGCAGGGUCAGGACCUUGCUAAUACCUUGAAACAUGGUUGGGUGAACAGAUGGUUCAGUGCCUGACAGAAGUAACUCCCUAAGCAAAAUUUCAGGCCAAUGGGUUUAGCUCAGGGCUACUGGCCACUUGAACUAAUAAUAUCUUCUCCCUCUCACCUCAGGGGAAAAGCCAGAGUUGAGGACCACUAGAAGCUUCAUGAGUUCCUCCUGGCGUUGUCCAUUCUAUUUUGUUGUUGUUGUUUUAGACACAGAGAAGCACUAUGUACUCCAGGCUGGCCUUGAAUUUGCUAUGUAGCCCAGGCUGGCCUUGAACUAGUGAUGCUUACACCUCAGCCUCCUGAGUGCUGGGAUUAUGUGGACGCCUCAUGAAAUUAUUGACUCAGAGAUUCUCCUGGACCAGUGGUGGUGAACCUAUGUCAUAGGUGCUGCAUUGGGCUGUUUGUUAUCAUCAAAAACUCUGAAAGGUUUGCCAUCACUGCCCUAGAUAAGGGUUUCUAGGGCAGAUGCCACACCCUGACACCUGAUGAAUAUCUGUGGUCCAUACCUGGUGCCACCCUUCCUUGCUAACCCCUAUGGAAGACUGCAGCUAAGAGUUCAGAGGCACUCUUCCUACAGAGGUGGCCAUCUUGGCUAGAAUCUGUUAUCUGUGAGUUUCUGUGUUCUGUAGCUUUGAAGGACAGAAAGUCCUUCACAGGGCCUUAUUGGAGGGGAGAUAUGAACAUUUGGAUUAAUUUCAUUUUAGAGAUUCAUUGAGAGAUAGAAUACAUUUGUGUGUGUGUGUGUGUGUGUGUGUGUGUGUGUGUGUGGUGUCUUGGAAACACUCUUGGAUGGGAGUCAUUGGAGGACUAAACUGGGUGGAGCUCACGGCUGCUUGGCCGGCUGUGUGACUGACCUUGGACACAUCUCCUAACCUUCCUGCUUUUUCUCUUAUAGAAUAGGUAUUAUAAUACAUGUAUUGUCUAUUUCAGAAGCUGUUAUGAAGAGCAGGUGAAAUGUGCUUUUGAAAUGACAAAGAACUGUAUAUAGUGUGUGUGCAGAUCGGAUCUCAGCUUGAAUUUAAAUGAGAUUCAGAACUGUGAUUGGUCACAGAAAAAGCGUAGGCAGGACUAGGGUGCAGCAAGCAGGGUGGCUGGGGUGCAGAAUGUAAGGGGGCACUCCCUCACAGGGGUGUUAGGUGCUACCUAUCAGUGAAC